GAGGGGUGCAAGCGUUAUUCGGAAUCAUUGGGGCGUAAAGAGUGUGUAGACGGCGCAUUAAGUCAACUGUUAAAUUCUCCGGCCUAACUGGGAGGGUCAGCGGGUAGAAACUGGUGUGCUAGAGGAUGGAAGAGAGAAGUGGAAUUCUCGGAGUAGCGGUAAAAUGCGUAGAUCUCGAGAGGAACACCGAUGGCGAAGGCAGCUUCUUGGUCCAUUCCUGACGUUGAGACACGAAAGCGUGGGGAGCAAACAGGAUUAGAUACCCUGGUAGUCCACGCCGUAAACGAUGAUCACUAGACGUCAGCUCUGUUUUGCAGAGUUGGUGUCGCAGCUAACGCGUUAAGUGAUCCGCCUGGGGAGUACGAUCGCAAAGAUUAA
RNAcentral lists this ribosomal RNA (378 nucleotides) under uncultured organism. RNAcentral's name for it is "partial 16S ribosomal RNA". It matches the Rfam family "Bacterial small subunit ribosomal RNA", at positions 527 to 897 of the family's 1533-position model. The record is from RNAcentral.